CAGGCCUAACACAUGCAAGUCCAACGAGGUAGCAAUACCUAGUGGCGAACGGGUGAGGAAUGCUUGGGAAUCUACCGUGUAGUGGGGGAUAACGUUUCUAAAGGAACGCUAAUACCGCAUACGUCCUAAGGGAGAAAGGGGGGGAUCUUCGGACCUCUCGCUAUACGAUGAUCCCAAGUCGGAUUAUCUAGUUGGUGGGGUAAAGGCCUACCUGGGUGACGAUCCGUACCUGGUCUGAGAGGAUGAUCAGCCACACUGGAACUGAGACACGGUCCAGACUCCUACGGGAGGCAGCAGUGGGGAAUAUUGGACAAUGGGGGCGACCCUGAUCCAUCCAUGCCGCGUGUGUGAGUAAUGCCUUCUGGUUGUAAAGCUCUUUCUAUUUGGAUGAAGGGCGCCUGGAUAUACCUGGGUGCAUUGACGUUACCCGCAGAAUAAGCCCCGGCUAACUCUGUGCCAGCAUCCGCGGUAAUUUCCAGGGUGCACGCGUUUAUCGGAAUUACUGGGCGUAAAGCGAUCGUACGCGCUUAUGCUAGUUGCAGGUGAUUUCCCCGUUCUCAAUCUGGGUACUGCCUUCUGGACUGCCUGGCUAGAGUAUGGGAGAGGAAGGAAGAUUCAGGUGUAGCGGUGAAAUGCGGAGAGAUCUGGAGUAAUUUGAUGGCGAAGCAACCUUCUGGCCUAAUACUGACUCUGAGGUGCGAAAGCAUGGGGAGCAACAGGAUUAGAUACCCUGGUAGUCCAUGCCGUAAA
Molecule: ribosomal RNA, 750 nt
Filed under: uncultured bacterium
Lineage: Bacteria
Description: bacterial SSU rRNA
Rfam family: Bacterial small subunit ribosomal RNA
Source: RNAcentral